ACGCUGGCGGCAUGCCUAACACAUGCAAGUCGAACGAACCCUUCGGGGUUAGUGGCGCACGGGUGCGUAACGCGUGGGGAUCUGCCCAAAGGUUCGGAAUAACUCAGAGAAAUUUGAGCUAAUACCGGAUAAUGUCUUCGGACCAAAGAUUUAUUGCCUUUGGAUGAACCCGCGUAGGAUUAGCUUGUUGGUGGGGUAAAGGCCUACCAAGGCGACGAUCCUUAGCUGGUCUGAGAGGAUGAUCAGCCACACUGGGACUGAGACACGGCCCAGACUCCUACGGGAGGCAGCAGUGGGGAAUAUUGGACAAUGGGCGAAAGCCUGAUCCAGCAAUGCCGCGUGAGUGAUGAAGGCCUUAGGGUUGUAAAGCUCUUUUACCAGGGAUGAUAAUGACAGUACCUGGAGAAUAAGCUCCGGCUAACUCCGUG
RNAcentral lists this ribosomal RNA (428 nucleotides) under uncultured bacterium. Its description in RNAcentral is "bacterial SSU rRNA". It matches the Rfam family "Bacterial small subunit ribosomal RNA", at positions 33 to 507 of the family's 1533-position model. The record is from RNAcentral.